GCGCAGCGAGAGGUGCUUGCACCUUUCAAGCGAGUGGCGAACGGGUGAGUAACACGUGGAUAACCUGCCUCAAGGCUGGGGAUAACAUUUGGAAACAGAUGCUAAUACCGAAUAAAACUUAGUAUCGCAUGAUAUCAAGUUAAAAGGCGCUACGGCGUCACCUAGAGAUGGAUCCGCGGUGCAUUAGUUAGUUGGUGGGGUAAAGGCUUACCAAGACAAUGAUGCAUAGCCGAGUUGAGAGACUGAUCGGCCACAUUGGGACUGAGACACGGCCCAAACUCCUACGGGAGGCUGCAGUAGGGAAUCUUCCACAAUGGGCGCAAGCCUGAUGGAGCAACGCCGCGUGUGUGAUGAAGGCUUUCGGGUCGUAAAGCACUGUUGUAUGGGAAGAAAUGCUAAAAUAGGGAAUGAUUUUAGUUUGACGGUACCAUACCAGAAAGGGACGGCUAAAUACGUGCCAGCAGCCGCGGUAAUACGUAUGUCCCGAGCGUUAUCCGGAUUUAUUGGGCGUAAAGCGAGCGCAGACGGUUGAUUAAGUCUGAUGUGAAAGCCCGGAGCUCAACUCCGGAAUGGCAUUGGAAACUGGUUAACUUGAGUGUUGUAGAGGUAAGUGGAACUCCAUGUGUAGCGGUGGAAUGCGUAGAUAUAUGGAAGAACACCAGUGGCGAAGGCGGCUUACUGGACAACAACUGACGUUGAGGCUCGAAAGUGUGGGUAGCAAACAGGAUUAGAUACCCUGGUAGUCCACACCGUAAACGAUGAAUACU
Molecule: ribosomal RNA, 767 nt
Filed under: Leuconostoc citreum
Lineage: Bacteria; Bacillati; Bacillota; Bacilli; Lactobacillales; Lactobacillaceae
Description: bacterial SSU rRNA
Rfam family: Bacterial small subunit ribosomal RNA
Source: RNAcentral